CAAUAGCGUAUAUUAAAGUUGUUGCAGUUAAAAAGCUCGUAGUUGGACUUCUGGUUUUGGCGCGACCAGGCCGCUCCUUCGGGAUGUGGUACUGGAGCGCGCCUACCAUCCCUUCCAAGCUGUCCUUGCCCCGCCCUUGUGGUGUGGUUUGCAAGGUACACUUGGAUCUUUUACUUUGAAAAAAUUAGAGUGUUCAAAGCAGGCGUAUCGCUAUGAAUACAUUAGCAUGGAAUAAUGAUAUAGGACUCUGUUCUUAUUUCGUUGGUUUCUAAGGAUAGAGUAAUGAUUGAUAGGGAUAGUUGGGGGUGCUAGUACUCAUCGGCCAGAGGUGAAAUUCUUGGAUUCGAUGAAGACUAACUUAUGCGAAAGCAUUCACCAAGGAUGUCUNCUUUAA
Molecule: ribosomal RNA, 394 nt
Filed under: uncultured eukaryote
Lineage: Eukaryota
Description: partial 18S ribosomal RNA
Rfam family: Eukaryotic small subunit ribosomal RNA
Source: RNAcentral